RNAcentral lists this long non-coding RNA (5774 nucleotides) under Medicago truncatula (barrel medic). Its description in RNAcentral is "long non-coding RNA (MTRU_LNC004712)". The record is from RNAcentral. Lineage: Eukaryota; Viridiplantae; Streptophyta; Magnoliopsida; Fabales; Fabaceae.
GAGAAAAUUGAGAACAAAAAUGUUGUGAUGGGUUUGAAUAUCGAUUGCAGGAAUCGUUUAGAACCAACGACUCCUGCAACAUAUUUUGGAAAUUGUAUUGGAGCAAGACUUGCAAUUGUUAAAACAAGUGAGUUAUUUGGAGAAAAUGGAUUAAUUGUGGCUGUUGAAAUGUUAAGUGAAGCUUUGGAAACUAUAAAAGAUGGAGUGUUGAAUGGAGCUGAAAAUUGGUCUUCAUUGUUACUUGAAGGUCUUGCCAUGGCCGAUGUUAAAAUGAUUGGUGCUGCUGGUUCACCUAAAUUUGAGGUUUAUAGUACUGAUUUUGGAUGUGGAAAACCAAAAAAAGUUGAAAUGGUUUCAAUAGAUAGAACUGGUGCUUUUUGUCUUUCUGAUAGUAGAAAUGGUGAUGGUGUUGAGAUAGGUUUUGUGUCUAACAAAAAAGCAAUGGAAGCUUUUGCUUCGCUCUUUGUCAAAGGGUACCAUUUAAUUUAGGAAAGGAGAGUUCUUUUCUACCAUGGGAAAGUUGAUCAUGUCCAUUAGAUUAAAUGAGGAAUACAUUCUUAUCAUACUCUCUCAACCACUAGAUUAUUUUUUACACUAUCUUCCAACCUCUCUCUUUCAUGUUCUCACACUAUAUUUGUUUGAUCCUUGAAAAUGGUAUGCUAACAAGUUUUCCGGCAGCAACCAUGGUGGUGUGUGGUGGUGCAGUGGUGGUCAAAGUGAUUCUUGAAUUUGUGAUUUAGUGGUGGAUGUAUGGGUGUGGGGACAUGAAAGAGAGAGUGUGAAAGAUAGUAUAAAAAAAUAAUCUAAUGGUUGAGAGAGUAUGAUAGAAAUAUGUUCCUCAUUUAAUCUAAUGGAGAUGAUCAACUUUCCCAUGGUGGGAAAGAACUCUCCUUUCCUAAAUUAAAUGGCACCUUGUCAAAGGCAUUGCAUCUUGAGUUUCAUCAUGUGUAUGUGUAGACUUUAUUGGUUUGCAGGAAUACUUUUUCUUUGAUGUUUUUCAUUCUAUAAAUUACAUAUAAUUUGAAAGUCUUGUCACAUCUUGUGCUUGGUUCCACAGCAAAAUUGAUCAAUCACACGCAUUCAUAAUUUGCUUGAAAAUCAUAAGGCUUUCAAAUCUAUUAUAGAAUUCAAUAUUGUUACUAUUCUAGAUUCAUAAUUUGAUGACAAGUUUACGAAUUGAAAGAGGUCAUAUUGGUGAGUGGGAUAGAUGGCCGAAUGAAAGUGUUUUUGUUGGAACAUGGUUUGAUAAAGGGAUCCAAGUUGAAAUGAAAGGUCAAACUGAAGGAAAACCUCCACCUAAACGAAUUAUUAUUGUUAAUUAUUUUAUAGUUUAUUUUUUAUUUUUAAAUAUCAUUGUGUUUUUAUCUAUUCAAAUAGAAAAAAUAGAGACAAUUUAAAAUGGAGAGAGUCCAAUCUAAAACUUAAAAAUGAAGUAGGAUUCUCUCCAUUUGCAUGUAGAGGAUCAUGUAAUAUUUUGUAGUUCUUUUUAAUAUUUUAUGCACACGUUUUUCACUUUCAUUGAUGUAUGUUUUUAUUUGAAUGAAAUGAACGUUAUUAACCUUCAUCCUUCUAUAUAUAAUGAGCAUUUCGAUAGUUUUCUACCAGAGUAACAAAAGCGAGAUUUUAAAAAUACAUUUGCGGUGGUUAUCUAUCGGAGUAACAAAAUUGAAAUUAUAAAAAACCACUUCCAAGAGUUAUCUACUGGAAGCACAAAAUCAAAAUUUUUAAAAAUGAACCUCUGAUAGUUAACUAUCAGGAGUGUUAUUAAGGACAGUUUUGUAAUUUUAGAGGUCUAAAGAAAUAUGAGGGGGGCCUAAAAAGAAACAUCCAUGAUUUUGAUGUUGUUAUUGAUAGAAGUUUUGUUGAUUUUUUAGCUGUGUGUUGAAAUAUAAUAGGGAAACUAUCUUUAUGACCCAAACUAGUGUUCUACCUCAAAAAAAAAAGCCCAAACGUAAUAAUUAAGAGUUAUAAAAAGUUAAGGAAACAAACGUUAUUUCAUUAAAUUCAUGAAGGAGUUUUAUAAGGAAUAUAUUACUAAAUCAAAGAGUUCUAUCUGACAUAAAUGUAUCAGGAGAGAAUAAAAGAGUCACAAACUAUAUGUACAAGAAAAAUGAAACAACAAAGCUGAGAUAAGACAGUUAAUCAAUGCAUAACAUAAUAAACGGAUAAAACCACCAUCCAUGAUAAUUCAUUGGAAAAGAGGCAAAUUUUGCCUUCAACCACAUAUAACGAACAAAUGUUAAUAAAGGACUUAAAAGAUCACCGAUAUUAAGGAAACAAUGUUAUAAAAUUUCAUUAAAAUCGCCAUGAUGGAGUUUUAUACUACAUCCAGUCUUUGUUCUUUACUAACAAAUAAUCAAAUAACACUGUUUCCUGCUUCAAAAGAGAAGAAAAUUUGUUUCCUUAAUAUUUUUUCUGUACUAAAAACGCUAUUUGUUCUUUUAUUUUUUUACAAUAAAACAAUUAAUGUCACUAUUAACGUAAUAAAGUCAUUAUUAAAAAAAAACACAUUACACCACACAAAAACAAUUGUAAUAAAAGAAUAAUAAAUAAUUUAAGUCUCUUAGUUGUUUUUAGGGAAACCUCUUAAUUUCUUUUUUAAGAAUCUAAAAUCAAAUUAUAUCAAACAAACUACAUCAUUUUCUCCACAGAAGGAGUGCCAAAGAAGAACAAAGAAAAGAAAGUAGAAGUUACAUCAAGUUAGGGUGCAAAAAACCAGGUUACGAAACUUUUUUUAAGCACAAAAGAGGAUUUAGCCACCACAUAUGGUAAUUAAAAGAAUUUUUUUACAUGAUUCACCUUUAGCCAGCAAAAAGUUUGUAAUUUAAUUUUAUCAAGUAGGUGAUGAAGAACAUUCUCCUUUUCCUGGAAAAUUCGAGCAUUCUCUCUUGUUAGAUGACCCAAAUAGUUGAAAACAAAAUCAAAUGAAGAACUACGCGUAUCUUUUUUGAAAACCCUCACAAUGCAAAAAAAUGAAUUAAGUGAUAUGAGACAAGAGAUGAGUUUAAGGGAUGAAGCCCAGCCAGUUAUAAAAGGAUGAUAUGAGGCCUCUGAGUUACCACACCGUUCUACAAAAAGAUGAUUAAUAGCAAUGAUCACACCUCUCCGAAUUAAGUUGUCAUUUAUUGAAAUACGAUUACAAAGUAACCUCCAUGUAGAGAGACAGACUUUCAAAGGGACCUCUUUAUACCAAAUGAGAUGAGAAUUGAUGUCUAUGAUGUGUUGAUCCACUGAAUUUAAAAAGUUAUAAGCACUACUCACAUUAUACUUUUUUGAAGCAUGUAACUCUCAUUCAAAUCCUCGUGCAAAACAAUAGAAUUCAACAAGGAACAAUACUCUCCUAAUUGGUCCUCCUCUCAAGCCCACAACCUCCCCCACCAUCUCCAAGCCUCACCACCCUCACCCAACCUAACUCAUUCAUUUCAGCCACCGUUACCAUAUUAUUAUUAGAAAGAUAAAUAAGACGACUGAAUCUAUCCUUUACAACCCCUCUGUCUAACCAAAGAUCCCACCAAAAUAAAGUUGAAGCUCUGUCUCCUAACUUACACCUUAAGUUAUCAUCAACCCACCUUCCUACUCCAACACCAACAUCAUGACUAACACUAAUUAUAUUAUUCCACCGAACCAAACCUCCUCCGCCAUCUUCACCAACAGAACCCUCUUCCUCUUCAUACCUACCUGAUAAAACUCUACCAAAAAAUUCAAGACUCCUACUUCAGCCUCCAACACCAUUUACCUAAUAAAAGUAUAUUGAAUUUCUUUAACUCCCUUAAGAAAUAAUUUUUUUUUAUAGUUUUGAUAAUAUAAAAAAUUAAAUUAGUAAAGAAAAAAAGUUAAACUUUUUUCUCUUAUUCUCAUGCACUAAAUUUAGAGAGAGAUUUCACAAUAUUUUUCUCAUAAAAAUUCUAAACAAUUUAACUUUUUUGGUAGUGAUACUUUUUUAUUAUGCUAUUUCAAUAUAAACAAUUAUCAAUUAUAAAAUCUUGCUCCCAACUAUCAAAAUUGAUUUAGUCACUGCCCCACAUAUAGCGAGAUUUGAGGCUCUAAAAUAUUUAAGAUAACCAUGUGGUCCACAACAGACAACUCGAACAUUUGUCCAUCCAAAUGUUUUACUCAAAUAGGUUCCUAGUAUUUAUAUUUAACUAAUGCGCAUCCCAUGCACUUCCCAUCAUAGAGUAAAAAACACAAUUAAUUGCUAUGCUUUUCUUGAAAAGUAUUGAUUCCUGCCGUCUCAUCAGAAAAAUGCUUAAUUAAUGAUGUGGUCUUUUAAGUUAUUUUUUGGUGACAUUUUAGUCUCAUAAGUUAUUAACAUUACAAUUUGGUCUCUUUAAGCUAUUUUCCGUCAACCAAAUAAAUCCCCACCGUCAAAACCGUUAACCCAAUGUCUAAAGUGGAUACACAUUGCAAGUUGUCACGUCACCGUUCACAUGUGCCUAUUUAACGUUUUGGCAAAAGACUGACAGUGAGGAUUUAUUUGGCAAACAGAUACUAACUUAAUGGACCAAAUUGUAACGUUAAUAACUUAUGGGAUCAAAAUGUAACCGACAACUAACUUAAGGGACCAAAUCAUUAAUUAAGCCUCCGAAAAACAAGAAUAAAAAACAACUCUGUCUUACCAUAUUCUUCAAUUUUUUCAACAACCAAAUUUCUAAGAAAUGUCUAAAAUCAUAGAAAUUUUCAAUGUAUCACCAUCUUCACAGGAAGAACUUCCUUUAGAAACAUCACUUCCUCUUACUUUCUUGGACAUAUUAUGGUUAAGAUUACCACCAGUUCAAAGAAUUUUCUUCUAUGAAUUUCCACACCAAACCUCACUUUUCUACAACACCCUUCUUCCCAAACUCAAAAAAUCACUUUCCAUUGCACUUUCUUACUUUUAUCCUCUUUUGGGUCAUCUCACUUGGCCUAAUGAUUCUCACAAGCCAAUCAUCAAAUUCAUCAAGGGAAACCCUCUUUCACUUACCAUAGCUGAAUCUGAUGCUGAUUUCAAUCAUCUUUCAGGUAAGAAUCUUACUGAAGCUAAACAAAUUCAUGAUCUUUUACCUAACUUGAAUAUUUCUCAUGAUCAAGCUUCUAUUUUGGCUCUUCAAGUUACUCUUUUUCCAAACUAUGGAUUUUCAAUUGGUAUUACUUCACAUCAUGCUGUUUUAGAUGGUAAAACUUCAACUUCUUUUAUCAAAUCUUGGGCUUACCUAUGUAGAAAGCUUGAAAAUGAAGUAUCUGAAUUAGAAUUACCCCUUUGUUUGCCACAUGAGUUUUGUCCUUUCUAUGAUAGAAAAAUAAUCAAGGAUCCAAAUGAAUUAGAGGCGAAAUAUUUGAGUGAUUGGUUAAAGCAAGGUGGAACCAACAAUAGAAGUUUAAUGGUCUGGGAUCUUCAAGUCCCAGAAGAUUCAUUUAGAGGGUUAUUUCAAUUAUCUCGUUCGAAUAUCGAAAAGCUUAAGGAAUUUGUAGUGUCAAAACAAAAGGGUACUAGGAAUGAGAAUAAAAAUCUUCACCUGUCAACUUUUGUUGUAUCUAUAGCUUAUGCAUGGGUAUGCAGAGUGAAAACAGAAGAAAUUGAGAACAAAAAUGCUAUGAUGGUUUUGAAUAUUGAUUGUCGUAAUCGUUUAGAUCAGCCGAUUCCUGCAACAUAUUUUGGAAAUUGUAUUGGAGGAAAACUUGCAAUUGUUAAAACAAAUGAGUUAUUGGGGGAAGAUGGACUAAUUGUGGCUGUUGAAGUGUUGAGUGAAGCUUUGGAAACUUUAAAAGAUGGAGUGUUGAAUGGAGCUGAAAAUUGG